AGUGAACGCUGGCGGUAGGCCUAACACAUGCAAGUCGAACGGCAGCACAGGAGAGCUUGCUCUCUGGGUGGCGAGUGGCGGACGGGUGAGGAAUACAUCGGAGUCUACUCUGUCGUGGGGGAUAACGUAGGGAAACUUACGCUAAUACCGCAUACGACCUACGGGUGAAAGCAGGGGAUCUUCGGACCUUGCGCGACUGAAUGAGCCGAUGUCGGAUUAGCUAGUUGGCGGGGUAAAGGCCCACCAAGGCGACGAUCCGUAGCUGGUCUGAGAGGAUGAUCAGCCACACUGGAACUGAGACACGGUCCAGACUCCUACGGGAGGCAGCAGUGGGGAAUAUUGGACAAUGGGCGCAAGCCUGAUCCAGCCAUACCGCGUGGGUGAAGAAGGCCUUCGGGUUGUAAAGCCCUUUUGUUGGGAAAGAAAUCCAGCUGGCUAAUACCCGGUUGGGAUGACGGUACCCAAAGAAUAAGCACCGGCUAACCUCGUGCCAGCCGCCGCGGUAA
RNAcentral lists this ribosomal RNA (506 nucleotides) under uncultured bacterium. Its description in RNAcentral is "partial 16S ribosomal RNA". It matches the Rfam family "Bacterial small subunit ribosomal RNA", at positions 29 to 523 of the family's 1533-position model. The record is from RNAcentral.